GGGCUGCGUGGACCCCCUGGCACUGGCCCGGGAUCCUGCAAUCUCAUGGGCCUGGGCUGCCAUCUCCUUCCUCGCCUGUAAAAUGGGCCCAAUAAGCCCGUCAACCCAUUUUUACAGAUUCUGUGGUUUCCUGAAAAUGGCCUCCCUGGGGAGUGGGAAUAGGGGCAAGGGUCCGUGGCAGUUAACAAAGAGAAGACUUCUAUGAAGUCAGCAGCUACAAAUUUCUACCUGGGAAAGAUGGCAAACGCUUCCCAGAAGAGAUGGCCUGUAAACAGCGUCUCCAAGGAAGGAAAGGAAUUCACAAGGUCGCCUCAGGAGAAAAGGCAACCCAGGCAGAGGGAAUGCUUGGCCAAAGUCAUGGCAGCUGACACAUUUGGGGAACUGGAAGCCGUUCAGGGUGGCCCUCAUGGGUUCUUCUGUGUUUGGGGUCCAGAGCUCAACAGGAGGCCCAGAGAUGAUGAAAAAGCAGGCCCGACAGCAGGUCGUGAUCUGGCAGUUCGAGGGAUCCAGCCCCGCCUCGGUCUCCACGAUGACGGUGCGGAGCCUGCUUGCAAUUCUCUCUCUCUCCCUCUCUCUCUGCCCGCCCCCCCCCACAUUCUCUCCGUCUUUCUCUUUCAAAAAUAAAUAAAUGAACUUAAAAAAAAGAGAGUGGUUCUUGUAUGUCUAAGAGGUUGUCAAACAAACAAAGAAAUGACUAUGCGACAGAAACUGUGUGUGGUCCACAACACCUAAAAUAUUUAUGAUUUGGCCCUUCACAGAAACAAGUGCGCCAACCUGGCAAUAGACCAGUAUCCCUUAAAAUUCGGUCUACUCUUACCAGAUGUUAAAUCCUGGUCUCAGCUGCUCUGUGGGAAAUUAAGGGAUGUAGGAUGUCAAAGGAAGGUCGAUGGCUUCUCCAAGAGUCGGAGAGGUGGGGGCAGUGGAGACCACCGUGAGAGAAGGUGUGUGCCCUGGGCAUGAGGACAUGGUCAUAUCAUAAAAGGUAGGUAUGGUCAGAGGUCAGAGGGGAAAAAAACCCUACUGGAGAUUCUCUUU
This is a long non-coding RNA of Felis catus (domestic cat), 1035 nucleotides long. RefSeq lists it as uncharacterized. NCBI's taxonomy places the organism in Eukaryota, Metazoa, Chordata, Mammalia, Carnivora, Felidae. The transcript has 4 exons. The record is from RefSeq and is a predicted model, not a curated record.